UGCCGGAGGCCAUUGCUAUUGGAGUCCGACUUAGCCAUGCUAGUUGUACGAGUUCAGACUCGUAGCAGAUAGCUCAGUAACACGUGGCCAAACUACCCUCUGGAGCGCGACAACCUCGGGAAACUGAGGCUAAUCGCGCAUACCGCUCUCAGGCUGGAACUGCCGAGAGCGCGAAAUGCCCCGGCGCCCGAGGAUGUGGCUGGCGGGCCGAUUAGGUAGACGGUGGGGUAACGGCCCACCGUGCCAGUAAUCGGUACGGGUUGUGAGAGCAAGAGCCCGGAGACGGUAUCUGAGACAAGAUACCGGGCCCUACGGGGCGCAGCAGGCGCGAAACCUUUACACUGCACGCCAGUGCGAUAAGGGGACUCCAAGGUUGCGAGGGCAUAGAGCCCUCGCUUUUUCUGUACCGUAAGGUGGUACAAGAAUAAGUGCUGGGCAAGACCGGUGCCAGCCGCCGCGGUAAUACCGGCAGCACGAGUGAUGGCCGCUCUUAUUGGGCCUAAAGCGUCCGUAGCUGGCCGCGCAAGUCCAUCGGGAAAUCCGCACGCCUAACGUGCGGGCGUCCGGUGGAAACUGCGUGGCUUGGGACCGGAAGAUCCAGAGGGUACGUCUGGGGUAGGAGUGAAAUCCUGUAAUCCGGACGGGCCCCCCGGGGGGGAAAGCGCUCUGGAAGGACGGAUCCGACGGUGAGGGACGAAAGCUCGGGUCACGAACCGGAUUAGAUACCCGGGUAGUCCGAGCUGUAAACGAUGUCUGCUAGGUGUGCCACAGGCUACGAGCCUGUGGUGUGCCGUAGGGAAGCCGUGAAGCAGACCGCCUGGGAAGUACGUCCGC
This 834-nucleotide ribosomal RNA is filed under the name uncultured archaeon. Its description in RNAcentral is "bacterial SSU rRNA". It matches the Rfam family "Archaeal small subunit ribosomal RNA", at positions 15 to 844 of the family's 1478-position model. The record is from RNAcentral.